Molecule: ribosomal RNA, 403 nt
Filed under: uncultured bacterium
Lineage: Bacteria
Description: bacterial SSU rRNA
Rfam family: Bacterial small subunit ribosomal RNA
Source: RNAcentral
UGGGGAGUAUUGGACAAUGGGGGCAACCCUGAUCCAGCAAUGCCGCGUGGGUGAUGAAGGCCUUCGGGUUGUAAAGCCCUUUCGCACGCGACGAUGAUGACGGUAGCGUGAGAAGAAGCCCCGGCUAACUUCGUGCCAGCAGCCGCGGUAAUACGAAGGGGGCUAGCGUUGUUCGGAAUGACUGGGCGUAAAGGGCGCGUAGGCGGCGGACUAAGUCAGGCGUGAAAGCCCUGGGCUUAACCUGGGAAUUGCGUUUGAUACUGGUUUGCUUGAGUGCGGGAGAGGAUGGUGGAAUUCCCAGUGUAGAGGUGAAAUUCGUAGAUAUUGGGAAGAACACCGGUGGCGAAGGCGGCCAUCUGGACCGUUACUGACGCUGAGGCGCGAAAGCGUGGGGAGCAAACAG